Molecule: ribosomal RNA, 735 nt
Filed under: Pseudomonas putida
Lineage: Bacteria; Pseudomonadati; Pseudomonadota; Gammaproteobacteria; Pseudomonadales; Pseudomonadaceae
Description: bacterial LSU rRNA
Rfam family: Bacterial large subunit ribosomal RNA
Source: RNAcentral
GAAUAUGGGGGGACCAUCCUCCAAGGCUAAAUACUACUGACUGACCGAUAGUGAACCAGUACCGUGAGGGAAAGGCGAAAAGAACCCCGGAGAGGGGAGUGAAAUAGAACCUGAAACCGUAUGCGUACAAGCAGUGGGAGCCUACUUUGUUAGGUGACUGCGUACCUUUUGUAUAAUGGGUCAGCGACUUAUAUUCAGUGGCGAGCUUAACCGAAUAGGGGAGGCGUAGCGAAAGCGAGUCUUAAUAGGGCGUUUAGUCGCUGGGUAUAGACCCGAAACCGGGCGAUCUAUCCAUGGGCAGGUUGAAGGUUAGGUAACACUGACUGGAGGACCGAACCGACUACCGUUGAAAAGUUAGCGGAUGACCUGUGGAUCGGAGUGAAAGGCUAAUCAAGCUCGGAGAUAGCUGGUUCUCCUCGAAAGCUAUUUAGGUAGCGCCUCAUGUAUCACUGUAGGGGGUAGAGCACUGUUUCGGCUAGGGGGUCAUCCCGACUUACCAAACCGAUGCAAACUCCGAAUACCUACAAGUGCCGAGCAUGGGAGACACACGGCGGGUGCUAACGUCCGUCGUGAAAAGGGAAACAACCCAGACCGUCAGCUAAGGUCCCAAAGUCAUGGUUAAGUGGGAAACGAUGUGGGAAGGCUUAGACAGCUAGGAGGUUGGCUUAGAAGCAGCCACCCUUUAAAGAAAGCGUAAUAGCUCACUAGUCGAGUCGGCCUGCGCGGAAGAUGUAA